UCUACCGCUGGCGCAACGGCGAGGUGCGGCAGUUCAAAGAGCUGCCCAAGCUGCACGGUCGUGACCUGCUGGCCGAC
Molecule: transfer RNA, 77 nt
Filed under: Flavobacteriales bacterium
Lineage: Bacteria; Pseudomonadati; Bacteroidota; Flavobacteriia; Flavobacteriales
Description: tRNA-Phe
Source: RNAcentral